Molecule: ribosomal RNA, 509 nt
Filed under: uncultured bacterium
Lineage: Bacteria
Description: bacterial SSU rRNA
Rfam family: Bacterial small subunit ribosomal RNA
Source: RNAcentral
GAUCAUGGCUCAGGAUGAACGCUAGCGGCAGGCUAACACAUGCAAGUCGAGGGGCAACGCGAGUAGCAAUACUUGGCGGCGACCGGCGCAAGGGUGCGUAACGCGUGAGCAACAUGCCCGUAUCAGGGGGAUAAUCCAGGGAAACUUGGUCUAAUACCCCAUAGUAAUUUUGUAAGGCAUCUUAUAAGAUUUAAAGCUUUGGUGGAUACGGAUUGGCUCGCGUGACAUUAGCUGGAUGGUAAGGUAACGGCUUACCAUGGCUAUGAUGUCUAGGGGUUCUGAGAGGAAGGUCCCCCACACUGGAACUGAGACACGGUCCAGACUCCUACGGGAGGCAGCAGUGAGGAAUAUUGGACAAUGGAUGGAAAUCUGAUCCAGCCAUGCCGCGUGAAAAGGAAGAAGGUCCUAUGGAUUGUAAACUUCUUUUGUAUGGGAGCAAUAAGGCCUACGAGUAGGUUGAUGAGAGUACCAUACGAAUAAGCACCGGCUAACUCCGUGCCAGCCGCAGC